Molecule: long non-coding RNA, 234 nt
Organism: Oncorhynchus tshawytscha (Chinook salmon)
Lineage: Eukaryota; Metazoa; Chordata; Actinopteri; Salmoniformes; Salmonidae
Exons: 2
Source: RefSeq, a predicted model, not a curated record
CCAGACCUGCUGUUUUCAACUCUCUAGAGACAGCAGGAGCGAUUCAGCUCCAGAUGACAAAACCUGCACACUCCCAGAGAGUUGCAGGGCUGCCGACUUCCUUUUGGUCACACAUUUUAUUUGGAGAGAUAUCCAAAAAAACAAAGACAUUGCUUUAUGUGAAUGUACUUUAUUGCAGACAUUUUCCUCAAAUAAAAUGGAGCAAACAUAAAAUAAACGAGUUAUUACUAUGUA